This 419-nucleotide ribosomal RNA is filed under the name uncultured bacterium. Its description in RNAcentral is "bacterial SSU rRNA". It matches the Rfam family "Bacterial small subunit ribosomal RNA", at positions 36 to 500 of the family's 1533-position model. The record is from RNAcentral.
CUGGCGGCACGCCUAACACAUGCAAGUCGAGCGAAGUAGCAAUACUUAGUGGCAGACGGGUGAGUAACAUGUAGGUAUCUACCCUUUGGCCUGGAAUAACACGAGGAAACUUGUGCUAAUACCGGAUAAGUCUUUACGGAGAAAGCUUUAUGCACCAUUGGAUGAGCCUGCACUUGAUUAGUUUGUUGGUGGGGUAAUGGCCUACCAAGACUGUGAUCAAUAGCUGAUUUGAGAGGAUGAUCAGCCACAUUGGGACUGAGACACGGCCCAAACUCCUACGGGAGGCAGCAGUGGGGAAUCUUGCACAAUGGAGGAAACUCUGAUGCAGCGAUGCCGCGUGAGUGAAGAAGGCCUUUGGGUUGUAAAGCUCUUUCGUCGGGGAAGAAAAUGACUGUACCCGAAUAAGAAGGUCCGGCUAA